Molecule: ribosomal RNA, 164 nt
Filed under: uncultured bacterium
Lineage: Bacteria
Description: partial 16S rRNA
Rfam family: Bacterial small subunit ribosomal RNA
Source: RNAcentral
UGGGGAAUAUUGGACAAUGGGCGAAAGCCUGAUCCAGCCAUGCCGCGUGUGUGAAGAAGGUCUUCGGAUUGUAAAGCACUUUAAGUUGGGAGGAAGGGUUGUAGAUUAAUACUCUGCAAUUUUGACGUUACCGACAGAAUAAGCACCGGCUAACUCUGUGCCAG